AGGCAAUAAGCUUAAAAACUUAUUGGUUACAGAACCUCAGAUUGUUCCAUACGCGACGGAAACUGAGUAUGGCUGCAGGUAAAAAUGUAUUAUUUCUUUGCUGCUGAUAAUACUUUCAAAGUGUAAACUAUGCUUUUAAAUUCCAAAACGUUACAAAAAAAUAUUGCCUUUUAACCGAGAUUCACUUUAUUAUCUGCAGGCCUUAAGUUUUCAGUAACAAACUGUUUGUUUUGCUUGUUUGAUAAGAAAGUUAUAUAUGUUUUAAAUGUAAAUAUAUUAUUCACAUGGAUACCUUACUUAUAUAAUACUAACAUAUCAAGAUUUGUGACAUUACACUGAAAAUAUAUAUCUGUAAAAUACAUUAUCCAUGCAACAUUGAAAAAUCUUUUGCAGUUUAUAUAACUAACCGUGCAACUGGCACUAUGGCAGUAUCCUAUUGCAACAGUGUAAUGCCUGUAUUGUUACUAUAAGACAGCCUUUAAAGCAGUCAUGACGGCCACAAUUUUGCCAGUGUUAAAAUGUAUCUAUGACUGACACUUGCGGGAAUAGUCACUCUUGUGAGAAUUAGCAAGAAUUAAAAGUGAAUUAAAGAUGAAUUCACCGUGAACUUCAAAUUUAAAGGCCAAAAAAUGUCAAACUGGAAGCAUUAUUUUCAUUCGGCUCUUUUGCCAUACAUUGGAAAUUCACUUUGAGUUCACUCUGAAUUUCCAACAAUUCUCGCUUUAGUGAAUAACCCUGGUAAACUUGUCAUGAUUAAAUAAUUUUUCGUCAGUGUAUUCUUAUUUUGGACAUUUGAGGAAUUUGUCACUGAACUCUCUUUCAGCUAACAUUUUGAGCGUAGGCAGUAAUCUCAACACAAAUUGCUGUCUAGCAAACAAGUCCCUAUCCUCUUAAGUACUGAACUGCAACAAGACUGCUACAGAGGCUAAUGAUUAAUAGUAUUAUUUUUGUCCAGACUCAAAUUAUGUAUUUGUCAUAAAUCUUUGUUCAACUGUAAAAUUACCUCAGUGACAACUUUAUGAAGUGAAAUACAAUUAAAGGUAAAAUACAGUUUGAAAACCUUCUUCAAUUACCGGUUCUGUGGAAGGCAGUAACCAUAUAGUAAAAAGUUUAGUUCAAGAAAUUGCCCUAGCCACUUAAUAUGAUGUAUUUGUUCUUACUAUUGGGAACCCACAAAAAUGACAUGGAUACUCAUUUUUGUGUCCAGUGCCAGGGGUAUAAACCAGUAAACUAGAACAAAAGAUGGAGGAACUUAAAUUCCAUCUUGUGUUUAAAUUUAUAUAUGUAGAAUAAUUAUUAUUAUUUUAAAAAAAAAUUGUUAUAAACAUCAUUUAAUAGUACACUGGCUGUAUGUUUCAAAUACAUGUUAAACAUGUUUGAUGGUCUUCUGAACGAACAUAAUUUAAUAAAAAUAUCUAUUAUCACUUGUGCUUGAGUUUAAAAACAGAAAUCAUCUGCUGUGGCACAGGAAAUUAAAUAUGGCAUGAAUAAUAACAUAAUUGCAUCAAAAAUGUUGUACAUCGAUAUGUGCAUUUUCUUGAUCGUUAGAGAUUAGAGUUAAAACGAAAAAAAUAGCCCUAUAAUAGUUAUAAGUGGUUUAUAGUCUCUAGUCUUUAUAAAUGCAAACUUUAAGCAUUACGUUUUAAAUGUAAUAAGUAUUUAAUACUAAUACUGUAUAUAUUCUUAAGUAAUAUAUAUAUAUAUGGAUUUAAUGUUAAUCAGCUAAAGCCAGGAAAUAUAAAUGUUAUAAAACAUAACAAAAAAACUUUAGAUAUAUUGUGACAAUUUUAAUAUUCUUAAUUAGGAUAAUAAACUGGGAUGUUGUAUUCACUCUGUCCCAGGAGUAACUUCCCACAACAAAUUGUUUAUUUAAUAGGCGAGUCCUUCUUUAGGGCAACUAAGAUCCAUAGAACACUGGCAAAAGCCACUGAAGUUAGUUUUAUAAAAAAAUUACUUUGUCAUAUAUUAUCUUUCUCAUUAAAUAAUGAAGAAUCAGAAGUGAUUUUAUCUUAUUUAAUAAUCUGUAAUUAUUGGGUAUGUAACAUACAGUAUUGGGUACCUUUAAAUUAAAUAGUAAAGUUUAUGUUAAUUAUAUAGUUUCAUUUUAAAGACUUUAUGUAUAUAAAGGUGACAACUUAUUUGUCAUUGACCAUUUUUCUACUAGGUAAAUGAGGAGGAGAUUUUAACCUACUGUUAAGGAGUUCAAGUAAUGACAAAUACAUAGACACAAAAAAUAAAGUCAAACAGAAUCACUGCUGAAGUAUUUAUUUUUCCUUCAAAAUGUAAAACGUAUUUACAGCAAGGUACGUAAAUGUAUGCAUCACGAACAAACGUUGCAUGAUUCAGAAUGCUAACUAGUUGUUAUAACCAAUACUCUUAUUCAUACUUUAUGUUUGACCUGGGCAUUUUGACUCCAGUGAAAGCAAAUCCAAUCUACAUAUAUAGAUAGGGCAUACUUUAUUUUUGAGGAAGACUUAGUAGUGCCAUUUGUCAGCAGUGUACUACAUGAGAACCUUUCACCAGUUGCAUAUGGCUGAAAGGCAUGAUGGGUACAUUGAGCAGGUCCCCACCCUUAACUGUUAUUUGCCCCCUCCCACCGUCCAAAAGACGUGGGUAGGACAGAUGGGCAGAGUGACAGUCCACGUUCUCUGAUUUAUAGUUAUUUAAUCUAAAAAGACAAAACCAUGAAAAGGGCUGAGAAUCAAAUUGCAGCUAUGAUUAAAAAAAAAAAAACUAAAACAAUAAGCCAUUUUUCCAUUUUUAACUUGUUAAAUCUGAAUGGUAAAAUUAAGGCUAAAACAGCUGAUUUGGAAAACUUCUCCAACCCAGCUUUUGUUACAGCUAGACUAUUUUGGCCUCAAUUUUGCUAUUCCGAUUUGAUUUGAUAAAAAUGAAUGUUUAGUGAAUAACCUUUAUAAUGCAGCACAAUAGAGUUUACUCAUUAAAUACCAAACUGUAGAAACCAAAUUGCAAAAUAUAGGUUAAAAUAGCCAAGUUUUGACUAAUGAUGGGUUGAAGUAUUUUUCUAGAGCACUUUUUUACAAUGCUUAAUUGUAGUUUUUAUAAAAUGAAAUCAUUUGUAUGGACAACUGUGCCUGUAGAUGGAAAAAGCUUCUGGAGCGCGCUGGAUAUUUUCUUUUGCAUUGGCAUAAAUAUAAACCACAGGCUAUCUAGUAAUUUACAAAUAAGUUUCUAUUUUUAAAAAGGUGGCUAUUUCUAAAGAAAGGUCACAUCUACCACACCAUUACCACAACACAUUGUCAAGUAGUGAAAAUUAGAACUCAAAAUGAAAGGUAUAUUUUACCUUAGGCCUCUUCUUUAAGUGGGUCACCUUGACUUUACUGUAAACUGUUUUUUAAAAUUUGGUUUUGCUUUUUACGAAAACCUCUUUUUGACACACUUUUAAGUUUUAUGUGUUGAGUGUUAUAAACAUACGUGUUUAUUUUUGUAAUAUAAACCACUAAAAUAGUGGUUGUGGUAUCCUUACAAUGAGUUUGCAACAUGCAGACCAAAAUAGGCAGGUUGUCAAAGUUUUCCUAUUCAGAUAUUUUUUUCAGAUAUAUUUUAUGAUUCUUUUGCAAUUCCAUUGUCAGUUUGCCACAACACACUUGGUAAGAAUUGCACAGGAAUAAAAAAUAAUUAAAAGUGAUUGUCAAACUUUAUGCUAAGAGAGCCUAAUUAGAAAACCUUUUAGAGUUAAUUUAGUUGUUUUUUUUCCUAUUUUGGCCUUAAAAGAACACUAUAGGGUCAGGAACACAAACAUGUAUUCUUGACCCUCUUGUAUUAAAGCCACCAUUGAGGUGGUUUGCCCCUUCUCCCUUAGCCCCUUGCCUGAAGGGGAUUAUUAUACUCACCUGAACAACUACAUUAAAAUUUGAAAUUCACUUUUCACAACAAUUGUCACUCUAGCGAAAAAUCUUGACUGUUAAAAUUAAUAAAAAUAAAAAAAACCCUCUGAGUGGCAAUUCAAAAAUAAUAGUUGUUUUUUUCCUUUAAAUGGCAAGAAAUUAUUCUAAAUGUCACUAAUAAGCACAAAUCUAUUUGGCCAACCAAAUCAAAUUAAGUCAUUACGUUUUGAAAAGAAAUUGAUUCUGUGUUACAUUAAGUAUAUAUAUAUUUAAACCCCUUAAGGACCAAACUUCUGGAAUAAAAGGAAAUCAUGACAUGUAACACAUGUCAUGUGUCCUUAAGGGGUUAAAAAAGAGAGAGAAAAUCCCAUCCCUACCUUUAGUAUAUGACAGGAUCCUUCAGCCAAAUGCAUUCACCUUGGGCCAAAUAGUGCUUGGAAACCUCUAUAAAGACUGUCAUCUUCCUUGUUUCAAUCCCUGCACAGUGCAGUAACAUCAUUAGACCAACUAACAUUCAAACACUAUCUGACCAAAUGUGCAUAUUUAUGGCUAAAUGAUAAUGUCUUUUACUAAAUGCAGAAGGGAUAUUUUACUUCAUAUAAAUUACAUAUACUUCAUUUAAAAAAAUUAUCUAUUUCCUUUCAAAACUUGAGUAAAGGUUUAUUAUAUUAAAUAAAUAGUGUUGAGGUGACUUCUCCUUUAAACUAUAAUUUCAUGAUUACUGUUGCAUAUGACUUAGCAAUGUGUCUAGUAUAAUCCUAGAAUCUUGAUGACCAUAAGUGGAUAGAUUUUGAGAACACACCCACUAAUGUCAAGCAAUUUAAGAUGGAAACUGUCCCUUUACGGCUUAUGGGUUUGUCCAGAGGUAUUGCCUGGUGCAGGGCUAUUUAGGUGACUUUAUCACUUACUGAUAUGUGAAUCUGUAAGCUAGAACAAGACUAAAGUAUUUUAUUUUCACAGAUUCAUUUCUAAACACAUUUAUAGGCAGAUUAUUGAGAGUAUUAUUGCUACAAAGAACUGUUCCAUACUCAUACACAUAAAAAAUUGGAUGUGCAGAAAAUUGGGAACAUCUGACGAGCAAAAUGGAGCAGCUAAACAAUUGAAAGGUUUGAUCUAUAGCUAGCUAUAAUUACUUAAUUUAUUUAUAUCCUACACAAUCAUUCAAAUACAAAUUAUUUGUUUACUGCUAUGACCUAGUUUUUAGUGUCGAGUUCAAGUGUUUGAUAGUAGUUCAUAUGUUAAUACAUAUCAUAGUAACUCAAGUUGGUUUAAACCCUAAACCUGUAAGUAUGGGUAAUUAAAAAGGUAACUACAAAUUCUAGUCUAAAAUACCUAAUCUAGUCUACUCUUAAAAUUGCAUUAUUUUUGCCAAUUCUCCGUAAUUCUUGAUUUUAGGGAUUAAAAACAUAAUUUUCAAGUACUUUUCAGUCCUGACCUAUUUUUGUUACAUUUGUCAGUCAAUUGAAUUAAAUGCAUAAAAUAAUGCAAGGAUUAUUAAAGGAUUAGCCAAUCUUUGCAAAGCAAGGGUUUAGCACAUUUGUUCAAUGUUUUUUUUCUCACAUAAAUGAUUGUUUUAAGUACCUGUCCGUUUGCACAUUACCUUUCAUGUGCCUUCAUGCAAGCGAAAGAUAGUUGUAAAUACUAUUUUCACACUGGCAGCACCAGUCAUGGGAUGGGGCCUUUCUAUCAAGUGUACAGCAAUGGCUGCAUACAUGAGCCCUCCCUUAUAGUAAUAUGGGGGUCUUAUUGACUUAUUUAAUUUUAUUGUAUUAAUUUUUUUUAAUGUGUUGGGUGGCUAGCCACCACAUAAUAAACUCUGGCCCCGCCUGGUGGCUGGCUAGCCACCACAUAAUAAACUCUCGCCCCGCCGAGGAUUUUUUAAACUAAUUUGCCCACUGUGCUUUCCUCUGGAGAAGCUGAAACAUCUCCCACAAUGCUUUGCCAGCUGGGGAGGGAUCUACCAUGUGCCCAUCCUUGCAGACCUGCAUUUGUGAGCAGGGUUUGUGUUUGAAUGUAAGCCGAUCAGGUAAUCAUUUCAAAUCACAAACUCUAAGCCGAAAUGUAGCUGAAUUUUUCAAAACCAACGAAACACACAAUGGAUGACCAUGUUUGUUUUGAUUUGUGCCAAGGUUUCAAAAAAAGACAUUAUUAAUGGGAAAAAAAGAUGAUUAGUGGCUAGGGGACAGUCAACACAUUUUGGUUUUAUUCAGAAAUCAAGUGACCAAUAGAGAGGAAAAAAGGAGGAAUAGUAUAAACAAUCUAUAUGUUAUAAAUUUAAUAAAAUAAAGAUAGAUUUAUUUAUUCCUCUACUGUUAACUUUGUUUUACUUGAUCUGUGAAUGAAAAGGCAAGAAAAUCAGCCUAUUAGCAUACUGCAAAAUAUAUCGGGAACAUAAUUUAACUGUAUAUAUUGUGUAUUUAUUUUGCAGUACACUGAUCGGCCCAUUUUCAAACUGUUAUUGGCUUGUUCGAAUGCUUCCCUGAAUAUUUUGCCAUAGACGAUAUUCGACUGAACCAAACCAUCACAUGAACGAGCAUAAGACAUCCCAAACAUAAUUAAAAUUUCACUUGUAUGAGAGCGCAAAGAAUAAAGUUAAUAACACUAUUAAAACAUCAAUAUAAAAAAAUCUGAAUAAGAUAAGCAGCUAUACACACAAAAAACUUCCCCAGAUUUCAACAAACAGUUUUAAAAAAUUCAGUGUCAGCGCUUAGUGUUUUUUCCCCCAAAUAUAAUUAGAUAGAGGUACAAUUAGUGAAUUAUCUUCAAAAUAUAUGUCCACGUUCUCUAUUUCAGUUAUAUUUGAUAAAACCACUUAAAAUAUUGUUCAAAAUUAAAAAAGAUAGAAGGCAGGGUGUCUGUAUUCAGUAUCCAGUGUAACCCACCUCUCCCUUAUAGGAACUCUUAAACUUUAAAACAGUGGUGCUUGUUUCCAAGGACCACAAUAAAGCCACAAUUUACGUUUAAAAGUGUUGCUUGGCUCUGCAGACAGCUCAGUGCGCCGGAGCCGGAGUCAGUCACUCACGCUUCUGAAGAAGUCAGGACCCGCUUAAAUGCCACUGAUGCCUGGAGCUUCUAAAACACAAAUCACCGUUUGGCGAAAUCAACGCAUUUUGCCCACUAUAACGGGCUUUGUUAAGAUAAACGCCGCAGUGGAUGUAAGGUGUAUAUAUAUCUGGUCCUGUAUUUAAAUUUUUAAAGCGACACAGUCCUUAACAGUUCAUCGGGUCCUGACUUCGGCGUUCUUUAGAAGCGUGAGUGACUGACUCCGACUACGGUGCACAGAGGUGUCUGCAGAGCCGAGCAGCACCUACAUACUGAACUGUAAAUUGUGCCUUUAUUGUGGUCUUUGGAAACAAGCACCACCAUUUUAUAGAGUCCCUAUAAGGAAGAGGGGGGUUAUAUUCAUUAAAAGUUACAGUACUGUACUAGGUUUCGUUUUUGCAUCUUUUUAUAGAUAUAUCGAACUAAGGAGAAACUUUGUUGCACUGGAGAGUGAAUACAGACACUCUGCCUUCUAUCCUUUUUAAUCUUGAACACUUAAUGAUUUAAUGAUUUUAUCAAAUAUAACUGAAAUAGAGAACUUAGACAUAUAUUUUGAACAUUAUUCACUAGUAGUACCCAUAUCUUAUUAUAUUUAGGAGAAGAUGCACUAAGUGCUGACACUUUGGAUUUUUUUAAAUAAUUUUAAUUUCAGGAAUGAUUCAGCUGAACCGAAUUUAACCUUUGUUCUUAAGUGUAUUAAAUAGGAAUUUGUUUGUCUCCAAGAAGUCAUGAUAAAGUGAAAGGUCUUGUUUCUGAGGAUAGAUUUCCUCUGAAUUUUUCAGAGGCAUAUGACAUCUAACCCCAGGGGGAGUAUAUGUUGUAUGCAACAUAAAUUAAUGUUUAGAUGCGGGCAGGGCCAGAUUAAGAGCCCAGUGGGCCUGGUGCUGAAAAUUAUGAUUGGCCUAAUUACAGAAUCUUAUCGACAAAAAACACUAAAACACUUCCAAGUGUCAUGUAUCUGAUGGAGAUGGUGCUGGAGGGAAAGAAAACAGCAGAUAAAAAAAAACAAAACAAAAAAAAACCCUAUGCUAAUCUCUCUCUAAUUUAUGUUUUUAUCUUUUAAGUGAAUCCAUAACCCCUAACAGCAGUGUCCAGUGAAGCAGUAAGUCAAUGGGCACGGUAAAUGGGUGUGCCACUGACACAAAUCACUUAACCUGCCAAAAGGGGCGAACAUGCCCAAAAAGGAGGCAUGUCUGCCCAAAGAAUUGGAAGGCCAGCCUGGCAUGAAUGCAUGUCAGGCUGCCUGCCAAUCAUGCAAGCUAGCCAACUACUAUGCAGACAGCACCCUAAGCUUGGCAUAAAUGUGUCUAAUGAUGCGCUCGCUCAACACUUUCUAAGGACUGUCCCCUAGCACUCGCUGGUUCACUUGUCUCCUUACCUUAUUACUAGCAGGCAGAAGCUCCUGGUAUAUAGUCUGGGACAGAGAAAAGCUGUAUGUAGUGAGUGUAGAAGAAAGGGAAGUGUCUCCCUGUCUUCCAGUGUCUCAAGUCUCCAACUGUCUCAUCUUUACCUAUGUAUCAGUUUCCCCAUGUCUCCCAGUGUCCCCAUGUCGCCCAGUCUCCCAGUGCCCCCCAUGUCUCCCAGUGUCCUCAUGACUCAGUGUCCCCAUGUGUCGAUUACCCUAGGUCUCACAGUGUCCUUAUGUAUCCCAGUGUCCCCUAGUGUCAAGUUACCAGGUCUCCCAGUGUCUCAAUGCCCUAUGUCUUCCAGUGUCCUCUUGUGUCUCCAUGUCGCCCAGUGUACCCAUGUCUCCCUAUGUACCCCAGUAUUCCCAUGUCUCCCAGUGUUCCCUAGUUUCUGUGUCCCCAUGUCUCCCAGGGUCCCCAUGUAAGUAGGACACUAGGAACAAAGAGACAUGGGAACACUGUGAGGCAUGGGGACACUGAGACAGGGGACAUUGGGAGACCUGGGGACACAGAGAAAUUUGGACAUUGAGUCACUUGGGGCACAGAGACAGUGAAAUACCAGCUAGGUGGAAACCCUAAGAGUAGUGUGUAAAAAUAAUUAUUUUUUUAAAUCAAUGGGCCUAUUUCAUGGGCAUGGGCCUGGAGCUGCAGCUCCAUCAGCCCCUAUGUUAAUCCGGCCCUGGAUGCGGGCCCCUGAGGUGGAGCAAUCGGUAAGUAGAGUGGGCCAGUGCUCCACUCCUCAAUUUACAGAUAACUAAGAGAAAUAAGGUCCAGGCCAGGUGUUUAGACUGACUCCAACCCAUUGCUCAGCUGAAAGAAAUUAGCAGUAGUUGAAAAUCUGGCAGGUAAGAGGGAUUUUUGGGUCCUCCUGUGAGAGUUCAAAAUCAGCAGGCUAAGCUGCAAGUGAGAUUUGAAGUGCAACAGACUGAUAUCCUGUAGGGUUGGUGAAACCUGAGUGUUUGGUUUGGUUUAGUUUAGUUUAACCCUUCACAGAUAGGGAUAUAUAUAUAUGUAUGUAAGUUAGAACUCAGAUGAGCUAGGAUUGUGUUUGUUUUUGCUUCUAAUGCUGUGUCUGGAAGUGAAUUGCACAAUAAAGUGUUUGAAUUCUGUUAAUCCUACAAGACUGUGCACAGGAUCACACUACAUGCUAGAAAAAUCCAUGUUGCAUCUGUCAUGAUUACUUCUGCAGCUCCCUCUCCCUUCACCCUUUACCAAAAUAAAGAAAAUCUGUGUAAUGAACAUUUAUAAACUUUCUAUAAACUUGGUCAUAUUGUAUUGUUAUACAUGCCUCUCAGCUAGGCAAGUUUCUUCAGUGUUCACUUCCCAUCCAUCUUACCUACCCAUGUCAGUUUCAAUCAGUCUACUAACAGACACAAGGAAACCUUGUGCAGCAGUAGGAGAAUGCAACACAAUACCUGAGCCUGCUCUGCAUGAAUCACACUGAUCAGACUCCCUCACUUCUCAGGCUGUUGCCAGGUGGAGAAAUCUAACAACUGCAAAUGUGUGACUCUGUCAGUCAUGGCCAAUGCACUUUUCCAGCAUUCCUAGGGAUAGAACACUGAUUGGUUAGAUCAGUGUGCUUUCUCUGGAGUUGGUGUGGAAAGCAUGAGAAAGAAGAAGCAGGUAAAUAUAAAAUAUAUCAAAUUUACCUGCUUUUUUCAACUGGCAGAGUAAGGCAAAUGUCUCAUUCGAAGCUACAGCUUUUGAAUGAGACAGUUGUCUCAAAGUAUUUUGUGUCCCUUUAAUGGCUGGAAACAGGGGAGGGAUAGUAACAUUUGUACUAAAAAUGCCUCCUCCACCCUUUUUCACACACAAUUCACAGAUCAGUGUUGAUAGUCCCACUCGUGUGAGCAUGCAGUAUAUGUGGAUUUUACCAAUGGGGUUGUUGGAUUUCAAGGUGUGCCAUCAAACAUAUAACCUUGCAACCAUCAUCCAUAUGACCUAAAAGAUGUAGACAAGUUUUUCCUUGAUUCCAUUGCCAAAUAUUAUCUGGUGCUUAUUAUGAAUGCCAUGAUUCACCCUGUGGUCAAUGGCAAACACCUCCAGGGGCAUCAUACAUAUUGAUUGUAGCCUGGAAGCCUGGUCAGCUUCAGAUACCACAGUUGACUGGUAAAUGCCCCAGUGGACUAGUACAGCCCUGAAAAGCACUGAAAGCACAGACCAUGCUAAAACCCACAUAUGGCCAGACUAGCAAAGGCUGUGUACAUUUCUUGCUUGCUGCAUUACUCCUACAGAACUGCACAAACAUCUUAAGUGGUUUGAGGCUGCAGCCCAUAAGCUCCUUUACAGCUCUCCCAUGCUAGUAACCCAGAUGGUAGUUGCCUCCCUGUCCCACGUCCCACGUCCCAGCCCUCCCAUGGCUGGCAAUGUUGCUGAGAGGACAACUAAUCAUGUCAAUGUUCUGGAGAACUCCUGCCUUCCAGGUCUUUCAUCUGGUCCCCAACAGCAUCAGGGAUAACGUUUGAUCUAUUUCAAAGGGUUUUUGUUUCAUAAAUACAUGUAUCGAUAGGUUUACUAUAUUGAGCAGUGCAUGAAGUUUCAUUAAGUACUGCAGAAUUAAAGAGUUAAUGCAAGUUGAUGCAGAGUUACUGAGACCUUUUAACUAGUGAUGUCCCAAUCAGGGCCACCAUCAGGGUGUGACAACUAUGAUGGUUGUCACUGGCCCAGUGAUCCUGGGGGCCCUGAUUGCUCAGAGAAAAUCAAAGUCUCCCUCUGAUAUUGUAAUAUGGUGCCACCGGCAGUGAAUACAAAGUCUCUGAAGACUUUGGUAUUUAAUGCCCGCCAAGAGUCACUUGGGGCCCGCCAGUGUGAGUCCAAUGUGCAUAUAUAUGUAGGGAGUAUCGCCAUAUAUAUAUAUAUGCAGUAUGGCCACUGCUGUGUACUAUAAUGAAGAGAGCCCUAGGGGACUCCAGAAUCCGCCUCCAGCAGUUUCCUGGAGCCUUGGCUGUCUGAGCAUUGCUGCAAGUUGCCAUGGCAAUGCUCUGUGUGUCAUGCAUGCUUGGCUUUUGAGAAAGGGAGAGGAACUGCUGCCUGGCUGCCAGAGGUGUAACAUGGAAUCUGGACCCCUGUCUUCAGUAUACAACAAAGCAGAAGCCUGCCCUGUGACAAAACAACACUGGGCUAUAGGAUUGUCCUAAUGCUUUUCCAUUGGAUUAUUUAGUUGGCAAUGCCCGAACAUGUUUGGAUGCUUCUUGAUUAGAGGUUCUCCAUCUGCAUUGCGCUCCAGAUAUAUGGAAUUUGUCUGAACAACCGAUUGCCCAAAAUUCAUCCGAAUCUCAAUUUGGACAAAACUGAAUGCUGAAGUUUGAAGAAUAGGGUAACACAGGGCAAGAUUUAUGAAGAAUAUAUUCAAUGUUGUCAUAAGAUGCAGAAAGUUCAGGAGGAAUUAGAUAAAAUGAAUUGACUUAAUCUGCAUUAAACUACUUAUUUGCAUACUACACACUUAAACCCCAAUGUUUUUCUGCACAUGCAACACCAGCUAGCAAAUGAAAUUUUAUGGUGCAAACUCUUGUAAAUCUUCCCCAUUAAGUUACUAUUUAGUAAAUGUAUUUAUCCUCUAAACUAAGCAGUGGUCCACAAACCAGUACUCAUGGCCAAGCAGCAGUACAAGUCUUGUCAUUAUCUCCUUUGGAAUAGAAAAGGGAAAUACUUUAAUCAUGGAUUGGGUCAGGGCCAUGAAGACUGAUUUUGGAAUCACUGCUCUAAUGGAAACAUAUCAAUGAUUAACCCCUUCAGGAAAACAGGCGUUUGGACCGCUGACGGUCCUGAACCGUCAUAGCAAAAAACGGACUGCGGGAAGCAAUCAAAGAUCGCUCCCACCGGUAUAACUCUGUAACUAUCUGCCAGACAUCCCAGGCAGAUAGUAACAGCCAAUUGUGGUGUGUGAGCGAUCCGCGAUCGCUCACAAUUGGCUGCUGUCAAAGUGGGUGUUACAAACACUCACUUUGACAGUGAUCUCUGCCACUCUCUCCUCUGUAACAUUUGUGAGGCGAGAGAGACAGAGAGCGUGAUAGUUUGUUGCAGCAGAAGUGAUCCAGAGCUUUAUACAGUAUCUAAAGUGAAUAAAAAAUCAUUUUUAACCCCUUCCCUGACAGAUCUGUUACAGCAGUGCAUUUGUACUGUCUCUAUUUUUUUUGCCCUUAAAGUGUUAAAUUUGUUUUAAAAAUCUGUGUCUUGGUCUGUCUUAGUCAGUCAGUUUCCUUCCCCCAAAUCUCUAUUAGAUUUUUGUGACAGGAGUUAGUUUAGGGAUUGCUGUUUAGUCUGUUUUAGUAAAAAAAAAUAAAAAAAAGUAUAAAAAUGUUUUUUGUGUGUUUGUAAUUUGUUUUAGUUGUGUGUAAAACAUGCAGCAUAUGUAUAACUUGCAGGAGACAUAUGCCUUCUUGGCGUCAGACUCUGACGCCACUGACACUGCGUCAGAUUUUGACCCAGGUCAGUUUUCUGACACGUCUAGUCAAGACGACAUGUCAUCUGUGUGUGAGCCGGCUGAAGAAAGAAGCUGUGCUUCCUCUGCUACGCCGAAUGUGGAGGAGGACUGGGUACCUCCACAGUUAGCCGAGCCCAACAUCCCCCCUUUUAGUGCCAACGCAGGCAUUAAUGUUAAUGUGGAUGGCUUCUCCCCAACUAGAAUUUUAGGGGAUACCAUCUGGGAGGAGAUUGCUUCACAGACUAACUUGUAUGCUACCCAUUUUUUUUAUAACAAUCCAGGUAGCUAUACAGUUGGGGAGCAUGACUGGCAUCCCACAGAUGUCCCAGGGCUUAAAAAAUUCUGGGCUCUUACAAUGCUCAUGGGGAUUAUAAAGAAGCCAUCGAUUCGCUCAUACUGGAGCACCAACCCAAUAAUGUCUAGUCCAGUAUUCUCCCAAACCAUGCCUAGAGCCAGAUACAAGUUACUGCUGAGAUUUUUACAUUUCAUUGACAAUACCCUCUGUCACUCUAGAGAUCACCCCCAAUACGAUAGGCGUCAUAAAAUACGCCCACUGCUAGACCAUUUUCAGGACAAAUUUUCAUAUGUUUAUACCCCCCAACAAAAUGUAUCCAUAGAUGAAUCGCUAAUGAAAUACAAAGGGAGAUUAGGGUUCAGACAAUACAUCCCCUCAAAGCGCUCUAGGUAUGGCAUAAAACUGUACAAACUGUGCGAGAGCGAAAGUGGAUACACGUUUGCCUUUCGUGUAUAUGAGGGGAAAGAUGGUCAAUUGGACCCUCCUGGCUGUCCUGACUCCCUGGGGACGAGUGGGAAACUUGUAUGGGACCUACUAAACCCCUUGUUUAAUAAAGGUUACUACCUUUAUGUGGAUAAUUUUUAUAGUAGUGUCCGUCUGUUUAAAACACUUUAUGGUUUACAGACACUGGCCUGCGGCACUGCCAGAAAAAAUUCCAAAGACUUUCCAACAUCUCUAAUAGAGGCAAAAUUUAAAAAAAGGCAAAUGUAAAGCACUUCACAAAGCUGAAGUGCUUGCACUAAAAUUUAGGGACAGGAAGGAUGUCAACAUGCUAACCACCAUCCAUGUUGAACGCAUGUCAGACAUCUCUGUCCGGGGCAGAGUAGAGUCCAAACCGGUUUGCAUCAGGGCGUAUAACAAGUACAUGGGGGGUGUUGAUUUGGCUGAUCAGCUGAUGCAGCCAUAUCUUAUUUUACGAAAAACCAAAGCAUGGUUUAAAAAGGUGGCUAUCUAUCUGAUGCAAAUAGCAACCCACAACUCAUUUUUACUUUUUAAAAAAAUAAUCCAAGGAAAACCGCCAUUCUCCAGUUUGAGUUGAAAAGAAUUUCUUUAACAAUUUAUGGAGAUGGACAAGUUCCAACAACGGUGCAAGCUGAGUGCAGACAUUUUAUUUUUAAGUUACCGCCAACUGCUAGAAAAAAAAACCCCCAGAAACGUUGCCGGGUCUGUUUUAAAAACGGGAAAAGGACAGACACCCCUUUUCACUGUCCUGAUUUCCCUUUGAAACCAGGACUGUGUGUAGGAACAUGUUUCAAGCUGUACCACACAGAACAGUUGUAAGACGUGUUCCUAAAUUUUUUUAUUUUUUUUUGUUUCUUUGGAAAGCAGCCAUUUUUUGUUAGUCAGUUUCCUUCCCCCAAAUCUCCAGUUAGAUUCUAUUUGCAGGAGUCAGUUUAAAGAUUGCUGCUAAAUGUACAUUUGCUACCUGCACAUUUGGUCUAACAAGUUUUCUGUCAGUAACACAUAACCAGCUGGCCAAAACCAGAUGACGUGUGCAUAAAAACCAGAAUUAAAAAAUUACCACUACACUUUCUUUGGGGGGCAAAAUGGUUGGGGGAAAGAAGUCAAAACACCACAUCUUCUAUAACCUUUGAUGUUUACUUUAUAAAAAUAUAUACUAUAUAUACUGUCAUGAUGGUAACAUUAACUGGGGGGUGCAAAAAUAUGUCAAACUGAAGAUAGACCAAGCAUACAUAUAUAUCAAGUUGAAAAACUGACAUGUACAAGUUCUGAUUGUUGCCUUUUGGCCCCCAAACAACUCAGCAACCCUAUAUAUUGGGGGUAUCACUGUACUCGGGAGAUGUUGCUGAACAUAUUGGGGUGGUGUAUGGCAGUGACACAUAACAGGAUCUGUUAAUUCAUGCCUAAAGUACAAUGUGUGUGACAAAGAAACAAAAAAUGAUUACUACCCAAAAGUUUGACAAAGGCUGGUGGUAGAAUUCAGAGCAUGAAAAGUGUUAAAAUACCACCAUUUAAAAUACCUUGGGUUGUCUACUUUUCAAAAUAUAUGGUUUGAUGGGGGUAAAAUACAUUGGCCGGCUAUAAAAAUGUCCCAAAUAGGACAUGCAUGCAGGUUGACUACAUGUCAAAAUUCCAAGCUGGGAAACUGAUAAGCGCACCUACCAAAAGUGGCCUCUUAGCCCACCAACAACCAGACACACCUAUACAUGGGGGGUAUCCCUGUACUCGGGAGAUGUUGCUGAACACAUAUUGGGGUGUUGUUUGGCAGUAACACCUAACAGAAUCUGUAAAUUUAUACCUUAAUUGCAAUGUAUGUGGAAAAUAAAUAAAAAUAAACUACCUAUGCAAAGUUUGGCAAAGGUUUGUGGUUAAAUGGCUGCAUAGAAAGUAUCAAAAUAUUCUUAGAUGAAUAUACCCUUAGAUGAAUAUAUACAUGUGGGGUGUUUUUUUGGAGAUUUAUGACAUAACAGUGUUACAAUGUCACUAUUGAUUCAUUUGAAAAAUGUACAUUUUGAAACAACAAUUUCCUACUUGUACUUAUAGCCCUAUAACUUGCAAAUAAAAGCAAAAAACACAUAAAAAUUGGGUGUUUUUAAACUCAGGACAAAAUUUUUAAUCUAUUUAGCAGUUUGUUUCAUUCAAUUUUGUAGAUCAGUAAAAGAUUUUUUCAGUAGAAGUCAAAAAACUUGUUUUUAAAAAAAAAUUUACCAUAUUUUAUUAAUUUUUUUUAAAUUAAAUUAUAUGACAUGAUAAAAAUAAUAGUAUGUAAAGAAAGCCCUUUUUGUCCUGAAAAAAACAAUACAUAAUUUGUAUCGGAACAGUAAAUGAGAGAGCGGAAAAUUACAGCUAAACACAAACACCACAAAAAAGUGUUAAAAUUGCUCUGAUCCUUAACAUACAAACAUCGCAAAAACAGUCCGGUCUUGAAGAGGUUAACAGCAGUAAAAAUUAGUUUAUUACUUUCUCUUAUUUGUUCCUUUAGAUUGUUUACCGAUUUGGACAGCAUUUGGCAUUAUGUCUGUGGCUUUUGUGUUAUCUGUCACCAUUAAUAUUGCAUACUGCAUCAUUAAACAUAAAAGAGGUAAGUGUUUGUCUGCAAAACUUUAUUUUUAAAAUAGUUAUACAAAUGUUUAAUAGUUAAAAAGAGCAAAAAAGACAUCCCUACUAUAAAUAUAAGCCAGGUCUUUGUAAAAGUCAAUAACUCAUUUAUUCAUUUAAAUGAGAAGAAGCAUAAUUAAAGGGAAACUAUAGACAUCAAAACAAAUUUAGCUUAAUGAAUCGGUUUUGGUGUAUAGAUCAUCCUCAUGUAGUCUCACUGCUCAAUUCUCUACCAUUUAGGAGUUAAAUCAUUUUGUUUAUGCAUCACUAGUCACAUCUCCCUGUGACUUGCACUGUGCUCCUAAACACUUCAUGUAAAGAGUCAUAUAUUGUGUAUAUACUGUACUUCAUUCAUUGCAAAUUUUGAUUAAUUUAGAAUUUCUUAUCUCCUGCUCUAUUAAUAGCUUGCUACACCCUGAAGGAGCCUCCUGUGUGCAAUUAAAGUUCAAUAUACAGAGCAGGAGAUACAAACUUUUAAACUAAGUUACAUCUGAUUGAAAAUCAAACCAUUUUGUUUUCAUGCAGGCGGUGUCAGUCACAGCCAGGGUAGGUGCGGCUAGGGCUGCAUAAACAGAAACAAACGUGAUUUAACUCCUAAAUGACAGAGAAUUGAGUAGUGAAACUGUAGGAGCAUGAUCUAUACACUAAAACUGCUUUAUUAAGCUAAAGUUGUUUUGGUAACUGUAGUGUCUCUUUAACAGUGCAAAACUGGGUAGAUAGGUGUCACACAGGAGAAUUUAUGUGUAUUUGUGUAUCUGUAUUUCUGUCAGUGUGUGUGUGGGUGUGUGUGUGUAUCUGUAUGCCUGUCAAUGUAUGUUUGUGUAUCUGUAUGUCUGUCUGUGUAUCUGUAUGUCUGUCAGUGUGUGUCUGUGUGUGUAUUUGUAUGUCUGUCAGUGUGUGGGUGUAUCUGUAUUUUUAUAUGCAGUUUUAUAGCUUUACUUGGAAAGUGUGGCGUUAAAACCUAUUUGCGGUCUGAAUAAGUUAUCCUAUUUUCAUUUUGGCCCCUACCGAUUGCCAAGUUGUGCAGGUCUGCCUUAAUGUAUAAUUGACUCCAACCCACCUCCUUUCUUCCAGUUUUUUCCCCUCAAUGUUCUUCCAACUUUUUUUUACAACCACAGUUCAACUGUGCAAGGUCUUUACGACCAAGAGAAUCAAUAUUUUUCUCUAAAUUUCUCUCCCUAUCUCUUUUUUUUCUCUCUAUCAAGUAUUCACUUCAAAAUACAUAAGGACAUACUGUACAAAUAAAAUACAAUUACACAUUAUUACAUUGGCCUUUUUACGGAAAAUACAUUCAUAUAUUCUGGAAGGUUAUACCAUGCGUGCAUAGCUUUGUGGGAGAACCUGCAUAAACCACUUCCUCUUUAUAGUGAAGAAUUGAAAAUGGUGGUGAAUGAAGGUCAUACAGCAUGGGUCGUCAACCUGGUCCCUACCGCCCACUAGUGGGCGUUUCAGGAUUCCAGGUGGGCGGUAGGAAUUUCCUCAUUUGGAGAGAUUGGGCGGGCGGGCGGAUGCGAGCCGGCGGUACCACUGCGACCGGGUACCGCCAUCACCAUUUGUAUGUCUUGUGUGUGUGUCUUUGUAUGUAUGUCUUGUGUGUGUCUGUAUGUGUCUUCGUAUGUAUGUGUGUCUUAUGUAUGUGUCUUUGUAUGUAUGUCUUGUGUGUGUGUAUGUGUGUCUUGUCUUUGUAUGUAUGUGUUGUGUGUGUCUUGUCUUUGUAUGUAUGUGUUGUGUGUGUACGUAUCUUUGUAUGUAUCUGUGUCUUAGGUAUGUGUCUGUAUGUAUGUGUGUCUUGUGUCUGUGUGUCUUUGAAUGUAUGUCUUAUGUGUGUGUCUGUGUGUGUGUAUGUUUGCAUGUAUGUGUCGUGUGGUGUAUGUGUGCCUGUCUGUUUGUAUGUAUGUGUCAUGUGUGUGUGUGUGCCUGUCUGUGUGUCUGUAUGUGUCGUGUGUGUGCCUGUCUGUUUGUAUGUGUGUCUUGUAUGUGUACCUGUCUGUUAUAGUGGGCUAUAGUAAGUGGGCUACCUAGCUCAGCCUUCCUACUGGGCAUUGCUAUAAGUAAGGUUACAAAAUAGAAAAAAGGGGGGGAAAAAAGGUGGGGAGGGGAAUUGAGGAGGAAGAGGAGGGAUGACGCACAGAUGAGAAAUCAUAUUAUGCACAAACAGAGAAGUCGUCUGAAUAUCACCGAAAGAGGAGACCUUUGUUUGUUACUUACGAAAAUCGAACCAGAUAUCAAAUAUUUAGUCUCGCAGCAUCAACCUCAAGGAUCUCAUUAAUCACUAGUAAAGGUAAUUUCAAUUUACUUUAUUGUUUUCUCAUUAAACUUUAUAAAGUUAAAAACAUUAUAAACAUGCAUUAAGUAGAAAUAAAAAGAUAAAUGUACGUACAUUUAUUUUUUUUAAACGCCCUCCUUUCUAAAAAAUAUUCCGCACUUGCGCGAAAACUGGUGGGCGGUAAGGACAUUUUUUCAUCAAGGAAGAUGCAUUAGUGGGCGGUAGGAAGAAAAAGGUUGACUACCACUGUCAUACAGGGUGAAAAGGAGACAAACUGGACUAAGCAUAAUUAGGUAGUUUGGAAACUUUCUAGAGCAGUGUUUGUAAUCCAGGUACACACGGAUUGGAUUUUUUUUAGUGUUUUAACAUAGUGAUAGAUUCUAUAAUCACAUUGUAGGACAAAUGAGCAUACCAAUUUAUAUAAACAAGCUUAUUGACUGAAGUGAGAAUUGUCAGGAAUUCAAAUAAAAGUUAAAUUGAAAAAGUGAAUUUCAAAUGUAAGACUAAAAUAACUUAACUGGAAGUAUAGAUCAGAGACAAUAUGGGUUUACUUCAUGGAAAUCAUGCCAAACUAAUCUUAUUGAUUUCUUUUGAUUGGGUAAUUAAAAUAAUAGAUCAGGGUGGUGCAGUAGACAUUGCUUACCUAGAUUUCAGUAAGGCUUUUGACACUGUUCCACAGGCUUAUCAAUAAACUGCAAUCUUUAAGUUUGGAUUCCAAAAUUGUUGAAUGGGUAAGGCAGUGGCUGAGUGACAGGCAACAGAGGGUUGUAGUCAAUGGAGUAUAUUCGAAGCAAGGUUUUGUCACCAGUGGUGUACUUCAGGGAUCUGUACUUGGACCCAUUCUCUUUAAUAUUUUUAUUAGUGAUAUUGCAGAAGGUCUUGAUGGUAAGGUAUCUUUUUGAUGAUGGUACUAAAAUUUGCAACAGGGUUAAUGUUGCAGGAGCGAUAAGCAAAAUGGCAAAUUAUUUAGGAAAAUUAGAAAAAUGGUCAGAACUGUGGCAACUGACAUUUCAUGUGGAUAAGUGCAAGAUAAUGCAUCCUGGGUUUAAAAACCAAAGGGCAGAGUAUAGAAUAUUUGAUAGAGUCCUAACCUCAACAUCUGAGGAAAGAGAUUUAGGAGUAAUUAUUUCAGAUGACUUAAAGGUAGGAAAACAAUGUAAUAGAGCAGCUGGAAAUGCUAGCAGAAUGCUUGGUUGUAUAGGGAGAGGUAUUAGCAGUAGAAAGAGGGAAGUGCUCAUGCCAUUGUACAGAACACUGCUGAGACCUCACUCAGAGUAUUGUACACAGUACUGGAGACCGUAUCUUCAGAAGGAUAUUGAUACUUUGGAAAAAGUUCAUAGAAGACCUACUAAACUGGUUAAUUGAUUGCGGGAUAAAACUCACCAGGAAAGGUUAAAGAAUCUUAACAUGUAUAGCUUGGAGAAAAGACAAGACAGGGGGGAUAUGAUAGAAACAUUUAAAUACAUAAAGGGAAUCAACACAGUAAAGGAUGAGACUAUAUUUAAAAGAAGAAAAACUACCACAGCAAGAGGAAAUAGUCUUAAAUUAGAGGGGCAAAGAAUAUCAGGAAGUAUUACUUUACUGAGAGGGUAGUGAAUGCAUGGAAUAGCCUUCCAGCUGAAGUGGUAGAUGUUUAAGCAUAAGGCUAUAUUAACUGUAAGAUAAGGCUAGUGACUAAUGAAAGUAUUUAGAAAAUUGGGCAGACUAGAUGGGCCGAAUGGUUCUUAUCUGCCGUCACAUUCUAUGUGUCUAGAUGACAGAGAUUAUUUCCAAUUCAUCUAUUACAACUCUACUACACACCACAACAGAUUUCUUUUUUUUUGGGUAGGGGAUUAGGUCAGGGUUAAUCAUGUGGUGGGUGGUCUGUUAAUCGGUGUCCUGAAUAAUGUGUAAUAAGGUGUAACAUAUAUAUUUAAAAAAAAAAAAAAUCACAAUUAGAAUAUUGCAUCUCUCUGGCAGGAAAAGAAAUGAAAUACAGUAAAGAAUGCACUAUAAG
This is a non-coding RNA of Pelobates cultripes (western spadefoot toad), 20336 nucleotides long. The record is from the annotation of a GenBank genome assembly. NCBI's taxonomy places the organism in Eukaryota, Metazoa, Chordata, Amphibia, Anura, Pelobatidae.